Non-coding RNA from Vicugna pacos (alpaca), 504 nucleotides. The record is from RefSeq and is a predicted model, not a curated record. NCBI's taxonomy places the organism in Eukaryota, Metazoa, Chordata, Mammalia, Artiodactyla, Camelidae.
CACCUGGUCUUGGAGCCUGUCUAGAUCUCUAGGACCCCGGCCUCUUCGUUUUCUUCUCAUCUGACACAAGCUGGUCUCCACUUCUCCCUGUGAUGUGCCCAGACUCUGGCUGAGGGUCCUGAGCUCUGCCUGCCUGACUCCCCAUGUCCACCCCACCCACCAGAUGCCGCUGGAGAAGACCUUUUGCACUUACCCUGGUGUGGAGAAGGGCCAGCUGCCAGCUCCCCGAGCCCGCUGCUGAACCCGCUGAUGCUCAGGCCACCCGCCUGCGUCUUGAUCGCUGACUUGAGCUCAUGAUUCUCCCGAAUGAGCCGCACCAGCUUCUUCAGUUCCUCAUUUUCCCGCACCAGCCUCUCGAUCUGAUGCCGAAGCCCCUCAUAAUUGAGUGAUCUACGCAGAGAGAUGUGCAGGCUUGAACUUAGGAGCUGAGUAAGGCCACGUCCUCCUGACCUCCACUGGCUCCUGGGCAUCUGCUCUUGACCAGGAGAGGAUGGUGAAGUCCUG